AUAGCGUAUAUUAAAGUUGUUGCGGUUAAAAAGCUCGUAGUUGGAUCUGCGGCCGAGGAGAGCGGUCCCCCACUGGGCGGUUACUGCUUUUCCUGGCCUAAUCAUUCGGUUUACCUUUGGUGCUCUUCAUUGAGUGUCACUGGUGGCCGGAACGUUUACUUUGAAAAAAUUAGAGUGCUCAAAGCAGGCAUAUUGCCUGAAUAGUGGUGCAUGGAAUAAUGAAAUAGGAUAUUGGUUCUGUUUUAUUGGUUCGGAGCUAAUGUAAUGAUUGAAGGGGACAGACGGGGGCAUUCGUAUUGCGACGUUAGAGGUGAAAUUCUUGGAUCGUCGCAAGACGGACUACUG
Molecule: ribosomal RNA, 345 nt
Filed under: Squillidae environmental sample
Lineage: Eukaryota; Metazoa; Arthropoda; Malacostraca; Stomatopoda; Squillidae
Description: SSU rRNA
Rfam family: Eukaryotic small subunit ribosomal RNA
Source: RNAcentral